AUCCGAUGCUCAACAUCGGACCUGCAGUGGGUACGGGCAAGCUAGAGUGCGGCAGGGGAGAUGGGAAUUCCUGGUGUAGCGGUGGAAUGCGCAGAUAUCAGGAGGAACACCAAUGGCGAAGGCACAUCUCUGGGCCGUAACUGACGCUGAGGAGCGAAAGCGUGGGGAGCGAACAGGAUUAGAUACCCUGGUAGUCCACGCCGUAAACGGUGGGUGCUAGUUGUGGGCUCCAUUCCACGGAGUCCGUGACGAAGUUAACACAUUAAGCACCCCGCCUGGGGAGUACGGUCGCAAGACUAAAACUCAAAGGAAUUGACGGGGGCCCGCACAAGCAGCGGAGCAUGCGGAUUAAUUCGAUGCAACGCGAAGAACCUUACCAAGUCUUGACAUAUAGAGGAAAGUCGUAGAAAUACGAGCCCCGCAAGGUCUCUAUACAGGUGGUGCAUGGUUGUCGUCAGCUCGUGUCGUGAGAUGUUCGGUUAAGUCCGGCAACGAGCGCAACCCUCGUCUUAUGUUGCCAGCACGUUAUGGUGGGAACUCAUGAGAUACUGCCGUGGUCAACACGGAGGAAGGUGGGGAUGACGUCAAAUCAUCAUGCCCCUUAUGACUUGGGCUUCACGCAUGCUACAAUGGCCGAUACAAAGGGCUGCAAUACCGCAAGGUGGAGCGAAUCCCAAAAAGUCGGUCUCAGUUCGGAUUGGGGUCUGCAACUCGACCCCAUGAAGUUGGAGUUGCUAGUAAUCGUAGAUCAGCAACGCUACGGUGAGUACGUUCCCGGGCCUUGUACACACCGCCCGUCAAGUCACGAAAGUCGGUAAUACCCGAAGCCGGUGGCCUAACCGUAAGGAG
Molecule: ribosomal RNA, 849 nt
Filed under: uncultured Actinomycetes bacterium
Lineage: Bacteria; Bacillati; Actinomycetota; Actinomycetes
Description: bacterial SSU rRNA
Rfam family: Bacterial small subunit ribosomal RNA
Source: RNAcentral